CUUCAGUAAGACGAUGCCUUGUUUGUGAAGAGGAGUGGUGUUAACGGUGGAGUGGGGAAAGACUUUCAUGGCUGUGCAGCUAAGCUGCAGAAAGUACACCCUGUCAGUGUUUCACUUCCGAAGGUGAAACCACAUUUCACACACAACACCGCCUGCUCCCCUCAACUCCACCGCACAUCUCGGAUUAUUUCACUGUCUCGGGAAACUACGGUAUCAUCACAAAAACACGAAUCUUGCAAUGGAAAUUCGGUAGCACAAUUAUAGUACAGCACAGUAGCUGUAGUGCUACGCUGGCUCAGUGGUUAACUCUGCUACUUCGGUAAGUGCUCGGGUCACAACUUCAAUUCCACCCCCGGGAAGCUGCAGGUGAGGAGUUUGCACGUUCUCUCUGAGUGCCUUUUGUCCAUGUGCGCUGGGUUCCUCCCACAACACAAACAUGCACAGGCAGAAAGAAAUAACGAAAGAAACAUUCUCUGCCUUGUGAUCUAUAAGAGGACGUCUCAGUGCCUGAGCCGUCACUCUCGCAACAGAGGACGCAGCCAUUCAGUUCCAGGAGCCAGCAAACAACAUCAACUAUGUGAAAUCAAGUAUAUUGAUUCUGUGUCAGCGUAAUGGUGCUUACUCAUGAUUAUUUUGCCUUCCUCGGAAAAAAGCCAACCAUGGAAAAGUCCCAGCUGUUUAUUAAGUGCCUGCCAGAGGAGACCAUUCAUCGCGAAUGUGACAAGAUUCUUUUGCCAGAGAGACAAGUCAGAGCGCCUCCUAAGGGCACCGUGUCUUCACACUAUUGCAAGUAGCGUCGUCACAAUAUUGAGAAUAUUGUUCAAUGAAGAAUGACGAAAAAAGGACUGAGAGAUUCGUUGAUUUUAGGAAAAACAAUUGUUUUUCAAAUGUGUAACUUUCUUGGAAACAUUUGCAACAUUAUUAAGAACAAGACUGUUUUCACUUGAAUCUUAAAGUCGGGCUAAGCGAUGUAAGUUGGAGAUUCAAAAAAAUGGCCAGAUGUUACACAACAACACGUUUCACUCCAACAGCUUUAUUUGAAACCACAGGUUUUCGAUCCGCUCUUCCUUUGCCAAGUUCAGGAGAAUUCACCAUGAGGAAGGGGAAGCAUUUCGAAAGCUAUAAUUUCAAAUAAACCUGCUGAACUGUAGUACGGUGACAUGUAACUUCUGACCCUAUUCACCCCAAUCCAACACCAGCAUUUGCCAUCUUCACUGUUAGAAAACAUGGGCUGCGGGUACGAUAUUUUUGUUUUCACUUGAGGUGCCGUUAAUGCUUUUGAAUGGUUGACAAUGAGAUUUGUAGCUAAUAUUUGUGCAUCUCUUUGGGAAUAGGCAUAUUGUGUUUAUAACGUGGACAUGAAGUAAAACUCUGCAUAGAAUUUAA
Non-coding RNA from Chiloscyllium plagiosum (whitespotted bambooshark), 1386 nucleotides. The record is from RefSeq and is a predicted model, not a curated record. Lineage: Eukaryota; Metazoa; Chordata; Chondrichthyes; Orectolobiformes; Hemiscylliidae.